This 57-nucleotide transfer RNA is filed under the name Thelazia callipaeda (thelaziosis nematode). Its description in RNAcentral is "tRNA-Gly". Lineage: Eukaryota; Metazoa; Nematoda; Chromadorea; Rhabditida; Thelaziidae. The record is from RNAcentral.
AGCUUUUUAGUAUAAAUUUUGUAUUUCUAUUUUCCAAAUAGAAGGUUUUAAGAGUUA